This 525-nucleotide ribosomal RNA is filed under the name uncultured Actinomycetes bacterium. RNAcentral describes it as "bacterial SSU rRNA". It matches the Rfam family "Bacterial small subunit ribosomal RNA", at positions 8 to 522 of the family's 1533-position model. Lineage: Bacteria; Bacillati; Actinomycetota; Actinomycetes. The record is from RNAcentral.
AGAGUUUGAUCAUGGCUCAGGACGAACGCUGGCGGCGCGCUUAACACAUGCAAGUCGAGCGAGAACCUGGCUUCGGCCAGGGGAAAGCGGCGAACGGGUGAGUAACACGUGGGCAACCCACCCUUGGUAUCCGGAUAGCCCGGGGAAACCCGGAUUAAUACGGAAUGGCCCAACGGCUCUUCGGGGCGGUUGGAAAAGGUAGCUUCGGCCUCCGACCAAGGACGGGCCCGCGGUGGAUUAGCUUGUUGGUGAGGUAACGGCUCACCAAGGCGACGAUCCAUAGCUGGUCUGAGAGGACGAUCAGCCACACUGGGACUGAGACACGGCCCAGACUCCUACGGGAGGCAGCAGUGGGGAAUCUUGCGCAAUGGGCGAAAGCCUGACGCAGCGACGCCGCGUGGGGGAAGAAGGCUUUCGGGUUGUAAACCCCUUUCAGGAGAGACGAAGCCACUCAGGUUAAUAGCCGAGAGGGUGACGGUACCUCCAGAAGAAGCCCCGGCUAACUACGUGCCAGCAGCCGCGGUA